GUUGAUGGACCCGUCCUCCGGUGCCUACUGAGCUGAUAUCAGUUCUGAUUUUACAUACUGGCUCAGUUCAGCAGGAACAGGAGUCGAGCCCUAAA
Terrapene triunguis (Three-toed box turtle) is the source of this 95-nucleotide microRNA precursor. The record is from Ensembl. Lineage: Eukaryota; Metazoa; Chordata; Testudines; Emydidae.